CAUGAUAUUUAUUGGCUGAACCUUUGGAUGCCGUACAAACCUUAGAUUUGUAGAGUAACAAUUUUUGUAGCGAGCAUUUUUUUAUUAUUUUGUUAGUUCCCUCAAUCAUAUUUUUACGAGGUUUAACACAACUAAAAGAAUUGAGGGAGAUGCUAACCUAUAUGAAAGUUAUAAUUAAGAGGUAAGUAAAUCUUAUAAUUGUUUUUGGAAUUGGUAAUGUAUUUCUUCAAUAGUUAAUGACUU
RNAcentral lists this long non-coding RNA (243 nucleotides) under Elaeis guineensis (African oil palm). Its description in RNAcentral is "long non-coding RNA (EGUI_LNC000693)". The record is from RNAcentral. Lineage: Eukaryota; Viridiplantae; Streptophyta; Magnoliopsida; Arecales; Arecaceae.